Molecule: unclassified non-coding RNA, 22 nt
Filed under: Mus musculus (house mouse)
Lineage: Eukaryota; Metazoa; Chordata; Mammalia; Rodentia; Muridae
Description: oocyte_clustered_small_RNA6005
Source: RNAcentral
UGGUGGCCAUUUCAUAGUACUG